CGUCAGCGGCGGGGCCAGCGGCCGCGCGCCCCGGCGGGAGAGGAGCCGCGGGCCGGGGCUGUUCCCGCUGGGAUUUCAAACGCCGUAAGGAAAUGCAAUGGAAGAAGGGAGGAAGAGCAAUUCAGAUCAAUCCAGAAGUGUAGCUGCUAAACCAGAAAAGAUGGAUACAUGAAGACCAUGCAUUUAUCAGAGAUCCUGCUAUUUUCCCAAAACCAGACACCUCAGAGAAGGACUCCUGUCAACAUGAAUUGUCUGUCAUGUGCUUUAAAAUGUUUUGAAAAAAAAUAUGGCAUGCCAUCUGGCUCCCAAGCACCCAUUAAAUCCAUUGGAAUAUAA
Non-coding RNA from Cyanistes caeruleus (blue tit), 336 nucleotides. Lineage: Eukaryota; Metazoa; Chordata; Aves; Passeriformes; Paridae. The record is from RefSeq and is a predicted model, not a curated record.